RNAcentral lists this ribosomal RNA (497 nucleotides) under uncultured bacterium. RNAcentral's name for it is "partial 16S ribosomal RNA". It matches the Rfam family "Bacterial small subunit ribosomal RNA", at positions 28 to 507 of the family's 1533-position model. The record is from RNAcentral.
GAUGAACGCUGGCGGCGUGCCUAAUACAUGCAAGUCGAGCGAACGGACGAGAAGCUUGCUUCCCUGAUGUUAGCGGCGGACGGGAGAGUAACACGUGGAUAAUCUACCUAUAAGACUGGGAUAACUUCGGGAAACCGGAGCUAAUACCGGAUAAUAAUUUGAACCGUAUGGUUCAAAAGUGAAAGACGGUCUUGCUGCUACCUAUAGAUGGAUCCGCGCUGCAUUAGCUAGUUGGUAUGGCAACGGCUUACCAAGGCAACGAUGCAUAGCCGACCUGAGAGGGGGAUCGGCCACACUGGAACUGAGACACGGUCCAGACUCCUACGGGAGGCAGCAGUAGGGAAUCUUCCGCAAUGGGCGAAAGCCUGACGGGGCAACGCCGCGGAGGUGAUGAAGGUCUUCGGAUCGUAAAACUCUGUUAUUGGGGAGGAACAUAUGUGUAAGUAACUGCGCACAUCUUGACGGUACCUAAUCAGAAAGCCACGGCUAACUACGUG